RNAcentral lists this long non-coding RNA (1407 nucleotides) under Physcomitrium patens. Its description in RNAcentral is "long non-coding RNA (PPAT_LNC006890)". The record is from RNAcentral. Lineage: Eukaryota; Viridiplantae; Streptophyta; Bryopsida; Funariales; Funariaceae.
AAAGAUGCAGAAGAUCGUAAAACCCUGCUUAUGGUCUCUGCGGCUUGAUGCAGAGGGAACCAAGAGGGGAAGAUUAUUUCAUGUAUAUACAAACAAAAACAGCUUAUAAAAGCACUGUUCACUACUGACAAAUUGUGCCUACAGUAAUCAAACUCUGGCAUUCUGGGGUGAUAGAAAAAUGCUCUAGAGAAUGUUCAAUUCCUUGACAAGCUUGAUUGUCCCCGAGGUAACCUCUUGGCAAUCUCCUGUCAAAAUAAGAUAACACAACUAUUUCAGGCCCGAAUUGAGGGAUGGAUUCUGCGAAACUGAUGAACCUUGGACAGAGAAUUUCUCGACCGGCUGUACAGACUUGGAUGCUUGGGCUUCCUGGCAAUAUCGCCCUCAGUGCAUUGCUGCCAGGCAGUAGUGUCAGAAUGGCUCACAGAUGAGUCGUAUUCAAGUUUACUAUUAACUUACUAGAGUGUUUGUGUAGCCAAGGUUUGAAACGAAGCUGGUAUUGACAGAGCGAUGUCUAAAUGAACAGCUUGUCAAGAUGCUUAACUGACUGCUUCACAGCUAUACAGGAUAGCGUGUAUUAGGAAGGAACUUGAACUGCAAAUUGGAAUCGUUCAAGGUGAAUCUAAAUCCCACUCAACCAUAAUACACUUCAAUGCAUGCCAAAUGAAGGACUGCAACACUGACAAUUAAACCCAAGUGAUGUGUGAAUCUCACCUCAAAUAAUUGAUUCACAUUAUCAGCAGUCUUUGCUGACGUUUCGAUGAAGAACAUGCCGUUACUUUCAGCAUAGGCAAGGGCUUCCUGCAACGUCGACGAGAAAUGGAAAAAAUUGCAAAUCAGAAAUAUCCUCUUGAAUCACAAAACUGGAAACUAACUAGCUGGGAACACAGUGUAUACACUGCCAAACAAGCAACAGGCAAAGAAAACCCAACACUCUGAAGCAGUCGCGAAUGUUCGGCACGAAUGAACGCUUACUUCGCGAGAUACUUCACGUUCACUUUCGAGGUCAGCUUUGUUUCCAACCAACGCCAUUACGAUGUCAGGGUUACCAUGCUUUUGGAGCUCCUAUUGCCAAGGAUAAAAGGAAAAUCAGUGGUCUAUUCGCCAGGGACCAAGGCGAAGAACAUCAAACAUUCGUUGUCAUAAUCCAAUAAAAACGCGGUGACUAUUGAAACCCUUCUUCACUACAAACAUGCAAAAGUCUACAUAAAUAAUUGGAGGAUAGUUCUCACACAAGUCAGACCAUAUUCCACUACAACGAUGGUAAACAAUCAACGGCAAGAACUGGAAAGAUGGGUUUCUCGUGAAUCGGACCUUGACCCAGAACUGCGCUUUCAGGAAUGUUUCCGGAUUGGUAAUAUCGUAAACUACAACCGCCGCUGAUGCUCCCCUGUAAUAUAGAGGCGCUAA